AGCCUGAUGCAGCGACGCCGCGUGAGGGAUGACGGCCUUCGGGUUGUAAACCUCUUUCAAUAGGGACGAAGCGCAAGUGACGGUACCUAUAGAAGAAGGACCGGCCAACUACGUGCCAGCAGCCGCGGUAAUACGUAGGGUCCGAGCGUUGUCCGGAAUUACUGGGCGUAAAGAGCUCGUAGGUGGUUUGUCGCGUUGUUCGUGAAAACUCACAGCUCAACUGUGGGCGUGCGGGCGAUACGGGCAGACUAGAGUACUGCAGGGGAGACUGGAAUUCCUGGUGUAGCGGUGGAAUGCGCAGAUAUCAGGAGGAACACCGGUGGCGAAGGCGGGUCUCUGGGCAGUAACUGACGCUGAGGAGCGAAAGCGUGGGGAGCGAACAGGAUUAGAUACCCUGGUAGUCCACGCCGUAAACGGUGGGUACUAGGUGUGGGUUUCCUUCCUUGGGAUCCGUGCCGUAGCUAACGCAUUAAGUACCCCGCCUGGGGAGUACGGCCGCAAGGCUAAAACUCAAAGAAAUUGACGGGGGCCCGCACAAGCGGCGGAGCAUGUGGAUUAAUUCGAUGCAACGCGAAGAACCUUACCUGGGUUUGACAUGCACAGGACGCCGGCAGAGAUGUCGGUUCCCUUGUGG
Molecule: ribosomal RNA, 634 nt
Filed under: Mycobacterium sp. So2Pt_61
Lineage: Bacteria; Bacillati; Actinomycetota; Actinomycetes; Mycobacteriales; Mycobacteriaceae
Description: bacterial SSU rRNA
Rfam family: Bacterial small subunit ribosomal RNA
Source: RNAcentral